UUUCUAUUAAAAAAAAAAAAGAGAGGAUUUUAGGAAAAUCGUUCCAAUAAACAAACCAUCCGCCAUAGUUCUUCAUCAUUCACUAUUUACGGGCACCGAGAGGAGAGAACACCUGCGCCUCCACCCUGAACCCAAAUACAACAGAGAAGAGAUACUCCUCCGCCCCAAAUCAUCACGUCGGCUUUCUUCACAUCUGAUUCAGGUACCUGCUCCAAAUCAUCGUUUCACUGGGAUAAUGUUCUCUGUUUCUACUGGGAAAAUAUUUAUAUCUGUGUUUGAAGGAUUUCUUUCUAAAAUCUCUGAGAACUUGAAUCUCAAGCCUGUCAUCAGAAUUGGUCCAUGUUUUGAGGAUCAGAUCCCCUCACCAGAAGCCCCACUCGAUUGGAGUUUGGGCACGUUCUGGCCUCUGAACCGACAUAUCUCAGCACUGGGCUAUCAGUUAGUCCUUAAAUUUUGAGCGUCGAAUCCUUCCCUACUUAACUCCAUUCGACGGUAAUAUUGCUUCUAUCUGGUCUCUGCUAAUGUGGUUCUUGCUUAUGAAUUGUUUUCAUGAGAUUUAACCUGAUUUGUAACUUGCGACUAGGGGUUUUCCUCUAAUGCUUGAGUGAGAAUUAUUCUAGUGUUGUGUGGGUGUUACCAGGGAUAUCAGGACCUGUUCAGAGUCUUGGUUUAGUCGUUGAAAGUUGAUUUUACAUUCUGAUUUAAUUCUUCAGAUCAGUACCUUGUUGGAGUUGACUAGUGAUCCUACUUGGGGUUAGGGAACUGAUGUCCUAGCCUUACAUUAAUAUGCUUUGGAUUGAUCAAUUUGAUCAAUGCUUGAAGAUACCGGGGAAUUAAGGAAGAAUCUAUGGUGUGUGGCAGAGAGGGAGAUUGAAAUGUGGAGUAAUUUAUGAAGUUGGCAGAAUCAGGGCUUGGAAAUAAACAAAGGGUCAUAAGUGUAGUGGGUUGCAACCAUCUCUGAAGUAAGUCAAUGCUGCACAGAAACAGAUUCCAAAAAAAAAAAAAAAGAGGAUUCAUGGGGUGUGCCAUGCUCAGGUGUUCUUUUCAAGCCGGUUACGCUGCACGUACAAUCAUAGCUCAACAAAUGUCCCUUUUGCUUCUAGAAAUGCCCUCUGGGCACUCUUUGAAUGUUGUGUGAUUGAUUUUCUAGUUGCUAUCUGAGAAUAGAAAUGGGGCCCUUGUAGGCAUAGGUCAACAUAGUUAUAUGUUUAUUUAUGUAUUUGGGUUGAAUGAGAGAAGAUGAAUUCAACACUUGGUAAUAUUACGAAAGGUCCAUUCAAAGCCAUCAUCAGCCUUAGCUCUCCGUCUUCAAUGAAGGAAGAUUAGGAUAAUGGACAACGUGGUGAGUGUUUCAGCUCUCAAAGAAAGUCCAAUGUUUCAUCUCAUUUGUCUUGACAAUGAAAUAUGUUAAUCACGUUUGGUGUUCAUGGAAAAAAGGGGAUUGAAAGACCCAUUUAAUUGUAUUCUUCUAACAACAAAGGUUUUGUGAAAUCUUCUCCUCCCUGGCAUGUGCAAUGUUUCUUUUGCAUUUGUCUCUGUUAGUGCUGAAAACUGUUUAACAUGUUAUUGUUGUAGAGCAGAAUAUUUUUUGCAUUGCAGUUCCCAAAAUAGUUGUAAUAAAUAUUUUGGAUGCUUUUGAGUAGGCGCUACCCAGUAUAACAUCUUCACCAUUUCAUG
Macadamia integrifolia is the source of this 1677-nucleotide long non-coding RNA. RefSeq lists it as uncharacterized. The transcript is spliced from 2 exons. The record is from RefSeq and is a predicted model, not a curated record. Lineage: Eukaryota; Viridiplantae; Streptophyta; Magnoliopsida; Proteales; Proteaceae.